ACCAAUUUAUCAGAACAGCAGAAGCUUGUUGCAUCAAACAGUUUCAAUGUUUAUUGCAGGCCUGUACAAAUCUACAACAAAAUCCAGUCUCGCCCAAGAUUCCUUCAGAGAUGCUUGUACCACAACAGAAAGGCUAAGCACAAGAAGAGGAUUCUAAUGACAGUUUUGCUGUCGUGGAAAGUAGAAGAAAUUCAAUCUCUUUUUCCUAUGUGUAUCUGUCUGGGAAG
Long non-coding RNA from Vigna angularis (adzuki bean), 227 nucleotides. RefSeq lists it as uncharacterized. NCBI's taxonomy places the organism in Eukaryota, Viridiplantae, Streptophyta, Magnoliopsida, Fabales, Fabaceae. The record is from RefSeq and is a predicted model, not a curated record. The transcript is spliced from 3 exons.